Molecule: ribosomal RNA, 253 nt
Filed under: uncultured bacterium
Lineage: Bacteria
Description: partial 16S ribosomal RNA
Rfam family: Bacterial small subunit ribosomal RNA
Source: RNAcentral
UACGGGGGGGGCAAGCGUUGUUCGGAAUUACUGGGCGUAAAGGGCUCGUAAGCGGCCAACUAAGUCAGACGUGAAAUCCCCAGGCUCAACCUGGGAACUGCGUCUGAUACUGGAUGGCUUGAAUCCGGGAGAGGGAUGCAGAAUUCCAGGUGUAGCGGUGAAAUGCGUAGAUAUUCGCAAGAACACCAGUGGCGAAGGCGGCUCACUGGCCCGAUACUGACGCUGAGGCACGAAAGCGUGGGGAGCAAACAGG